Molecule: transfer RNA, 89 nt
Filed under: Candidatus Uhrbacteria bacterium
Lineage: Bacteria; Candidatus Uhriibacteriota
Description: tRNA-Ser
Rfam family: tRNA
About the family: Transfer RNA (tRNA) molecules are approximately 80 nucleotides in length. Their secondary structure includes four short double-helical elements and three loops (D, anti-codon, and T loops).
Source: RNAcentral
GGAGAGGUGACAGAGUGGUCGAAUGUGCCUGACUCGAAAUCAGGUGUCCGUUCUGCGGACCGUGGGUUCGAAUCCCACCCUCUCCGCCA